This 253-nucleotide ribosomal RNA is filed under the name uncultured bacterium. RNAcentral's name for it is "partial 16S ribosomal RNA". It matches the Rfam family "Bacterial small subunit ribosomal RNA", at positions 524 to 776 of the family's 1533-position model. The record is from RNAcentral.
UACAGAGGGUGCGAGCGUUGUCCGGAAUCACUGGGCGUAAAGGGCGCGUAGGUGGCUCGUUAAGCGUGUGGUGAAAGCCUGGGGCUCAACCCCAGGUCUGCCAUGCGAACUGGCAAGCUUGAGCAUAGUAGAGGCGGGUGGAAUUCCGGGUGUAGCGGUGGAAUGCGUAGAUAUCCGGAAGAACACCGGUGGCGAAGGCGGCCCGCUGGGCUAUUGCUGACACUGAACCGCGACAGCGUGGGGAGCAAACAGG